Molecule: ribosomal RNA, 550 nt
Filed under: Escherichia coli
Lineage: Bacteria; Pseudomonadati; Pseudomonadota; Gammaproteobacteria; Enterobacterales; Enterobacteriaceae
Description: bacterial SSU rRNA
Rfam family: Bacterial small subunit ribosomal RNA
Source: RNAcentral
AGUUUUCAGAGAUGAGAAUGUGCCUUCGGGAACCGUGAGACAGGUGCUGCAUGGCUGUCGUCAGCUCGUGUUGUGAAAUGUUGGGUUAAGUCCCGCAACGAGCGCAACCCUUAUCCUUUGUUGCCAGCGGUCCGGCCGGGAACUCAAAGGAGACUGCCAGUGAUAAACUGGAGGAAGGUGGGGAUGACGUCAAGUCAUCAUGGCCCUUACGACCAGGGCUACACACGUGCUACAAUGGCGCAUACAAAGAGAAGCGACCUCGCGAGAGCAAGCGGACCUCAUAAAGUGCGUCGUAGUCCGGAUUGGAGUCUGCAACUCGACUCCAUGAAGUCGGAAUCGCUAGUAAUCGUGGAUCAGAAUGCCACGGUGAAUACGUUCCCGGGCCUUGUACACACCGCCCGUCACACCAUGGGAGUGGGUUGCAAAAGAAGUAGGUAGCUUAACCUUCGGGAGGGCGCUUACCACUUUGUGAUUCAUGACUGGGGUGAAGUCGUAACAAGGUAACCGUAGGGGAACCUGCGGUUGGAUCACCUCCUUACCUUAAAGAAGC